Molecule: ribosomal RNA, 580 nt
Filed under: uncultured bacterium
Lineage: Bacteria
Description: partial 16S ribosomal RNA
Rfam family: Bacterial small subunit ribosomal RNA
Source: RNAcentral
UGGGGAAUUUUGGACAAUGGGGGAAACCCUGAUCCAGCCAUCCCGCGUGUGCGAUGAAGGCCUUCGGGUUGUAAAGCACUUUUGGCAGGAAAGAAACGUCGCGGGUUAAUACCCCGCGAAACUGACGGUACCUGCAGAAUAAGCACCGGCUAACUACGUGCCAGCAGCCGCGGUAAUACGUAGGGUGCAAGCGUUAAUCGGAAUUACUGGGCGUAAAGCGUGCGCAGGCGGUUCGGAAAGAAAGAUGUGAAAUCCCAGAGCUUAACUUUGGAACUGCAUUUUUAACUACCGGGCUAGAGUGUGUCAGAGGGAGGUGGAAUUCCGCGUGUAGCAGUGAAAUGCGUAGAUAUGCGGAGGAACACCGAUGGCGAAGGCAGCCUCCUGGGAUAACACUGACGCUCAUGCACGAAAGCGUGGGGAGCAAACAGGAUUAGAUACCCUGGUAGUCCACGCCCUAAACGAUGUCAACUAGCUGUUGGGGCCUUCGGGCCUUGGUAGCGCAGCUAACGCGUGAAGUUGACCGCCUGGGGAGUACGGUCGCAAGAUUAAAAACUUAAAGGAAUUGACGGGGGUCAUAGCU